UGCCUUGUGUUCCUAGCAAGGCUGUAAUUCCCUCGACAGACCUGCAUGGCACAGAGGUGGAGGGAGCUCACGCUCCACCUUCCAAAUUGGCCUUACAGAAGUUACAGCACAAGCUGUGCAGAAAACUGUUCCCUGGGAUGCUUAUCGAGUUGGUGAGAUUGUGGACAGCACAGCCACCUGUGGUUCCCUAGUACAUCAGAGCACGAAGCAACAAUUUCCUAAACUUCAGGACUUCUCAUAUUUGACAGUGGCAUUAUUAUGAAGAAAACAAUGAAUUCAAAACAUAGAAUUAAAAUUAUUAUUCUGGAAAACUAAACACCACAAUUUUGAUGUGUUGUUGAUAUCAUCUUUGGAGGAAAAGGCAAACGUGAUUGUCUUUACUUUUAAUGAAAACUUUCUUGGGCAACAUCACAACUAUUUUGAAUGAACACUACAGAUAUCCACAGAUUAAAAGCAAUAUCUUUUGCAAAGAACUACCAUAGGAAAUGUCUUUGGGGAAGAUCC
RNAcentral lists this long non-coding RNA (504 nucleotides) under Numida meleagris (helmeted guineafowl). RNAcentral's name for it is "lncRNA (ENSNMEG00000015732.1)". Lineage: Eukaryota; Metazoa; Chordata; Aves; Galliformes; Numididae. The record is from RNAcentral.